This 492-nucleotide ribosomal RNA is filed under the name uncultured bacterium. Its description in RNAcentral is "partial 16S ribosomal RNA". It matches the Rfam family "Bacterial small subunit ribosomal RNA", at positions 29 to 507 of the family's 1533-position model. The record is from RNAcentral.
AGUGAACGCUGGCGGUAGGCCUAACACAUGCAAGUCGAACGGCAGCACAGUAAGAGCUUGCUCUUACGGGUGGCGAGUGGCGGACGGGUGAGGAAUACAUCGGAAUCUACUUUUUCGUGGGGGAUAACGUAGGGAAACUUACGCUAAUACCGCAUACGACCUACGGGUGAAAGCAGGGGAUCUUCGGACCUUGCGCGAUUGAAUGAGCCGAUGUCGGAUUAGCUAGUUGGCGGGGUAAAGGCCCUCCAAGGCGACGAUCCGUAGCUGGUCUGAGAGGAUGAUCAGCCACACUGGAACUGAGACACGGUCCAGACUCCGACGGGAGGCAGCAGUGGGGAAUAUUGGACAAUGGGCGCAAGCCUAAUCCAGCCAUACCGCGUGGGUGAAGAAGGCCUUCGGGUUGUAAAGCCCUUUUGUUGGGAAAGAAAAGCAGCAGGUUAAUACCCCGCUGUUCUGACGGUACCCAAAGAAUAAGCACCGGCUAACUUCGUG